AAAAAUAUCACAAAUGUUUCAAUUUUAAAUGUAAGAGCGAAUCAAAAUAAAUUCAAUUUUCUUGCUACAUGUUAGCUUUUCCUUCUCUGUUUUUCUUUAUAUAUUAUUUGACACCAAAGUCUAGUUCCGAUUGGCUAAAAUCUAGUUCUCUCGAUAAACACUUUACAUCAAAGAUAUUCACAAGAACACUACCCGCAAUAAGAUUAUCUAACUUAAAAGGUGUAGUUGUCUUUUAC
RNAcentral lists this long non-coding RNA (236 nucleotides) under Lathyrus oleraceus (garden pea). RNAcentral describes it as "Pisum sativum (pea) long non-coding RNA (PSAT_LNC008448)". The record is from RNAcentral. Lineage: Eukaryota; Viridiplantae; Streptophyta; Magnoliopsida; Fabales; Fabaceae.